Myiozetetes cayanensis is the source of this 12136-nucleotide RNA transcript. It is a transcript of the gene named autophagy related 7, with no coding region annotated. The record is from RefSeq and is a predicted model, not a curated record. Lineage: Eukaryota; Metazoa; Chordata; Aves; Passeriformes; Tyrannidae. The transcript has 20 exons.
CGGGACCCCGGGACCGGCACCGGUACCAGCACGGAGUGCUGUGAGCCGGCACCGGGUACCGGCACUGGGACCGGCACGGAGCGCUGCGAGACCCCGGAUACCGGCACUGGGACCGGCACUGGGACUGGCACGGAGCGCUGCGGGACCCCCCCAGAAUUCUGUUUAACAGUGAUCAUCAUCUAAAAUUAUGGCCACUGCCAGUGGUGAGGUACACCAUCCUGUAGAUCCUGGAAUCUCAAAGCUGCAGUUUGCUCCCUUCAGUAGUGCCUUGGAUGCAGGAUUCUGGCAUGAACUAACCCAGAAGAAACUCAAUGAAUACCGACUGGAUGAGACCCCCAAAGUUAUCAAAGGAUACUACUACAAUGGUGAUCCUUUGGGCUUGCCAGCUCGCUUGACAUUGGAGUUUAGUGCCUUUGAUAUGGGGUUCCUUCUUUUAUUCAGGAGUGCUUCGAUACCAGCACGUUGCUGUCCUGCUUUUGGAACAUUGUAUAAUACCAACACUUUUGAGACUUUCAAAUCCUGUGAUAAGAAAUCACUUCUGGAAAAAGAAGCAAAUGAGAUAUGGGAAUCAAUAAAAUCUGGAGCUGCUCUUGAAAACCCCAUGCUCUUGAACAGGUUCCUGCUGCUGACGUUUGCAGAUUUAAAAAAGUAUCACUUCUAUUACUGGUUUUGUUACCCUGCUCUCUGCUUUCCCAAUGGAAUACAUAUAAUUCAGAAACCAGUGUGUCUUGGUGAGAGGUUCUCAUUAAAUCAGAUUCAAGCACUUCAGAAAGCAUAUGAUGAACUUUGCCAGAAAGAGGGGGUUACAGCCCUGCCUUAUUUUUUAAUCAAAUAUCAUGACAAUUCUGUCAAGAUAUCUCUGUUGAAAAAGUGGGAUGCUUUCUUUCAAGACCAAGGGGGAAAGGUGACAGUUGGAGUUUAUGAUCCAUGUAAUUUAUCCCACUAUCCAGGAUGGCCACUGAGAAAUUUCCUGAUCCUGGCAGCCCACAAUUGGGGCAACGUUCUUCAGACGGUUGAAGUGCUUUGCUUCAGAGACAGGACCAUGCAAGGGGUGAGGGACAUAACACACAGCAUUAUCUUUGAAAUAAAACUUCCAGAGAAACCCCUUGGCCCAGAUUGUCCAAAAGCUGUUGGAUGGGAGAAAAACCAAAAGGGAGGCAUGGGUCCAAGGAUGGUGAAUCUCAGUGAAUGCAUGGAUCCAAAAAGGUUAGCAGAAUCAUCCGUGGAUCUUAAUUUGAAAUUGAUGUGCUGGCGUUUGGUGCCUACUCUGGAUUUGGAAAAGAUUGUGUCUGCCAAGUGUCUGCUGCUAGGAGCUGGUACACUGGGUUGCAGUGUUGCAAGGACCUUGAUGGGCUGGGGAGUCAGGAAGAUCACGUUUGUGGACAAUGCAAAGAUCUCCUACUCCAACCCUGUGCGGCAGCCGCUGUACGAGUUUGAAGACUGUCUGAGUGGGGGGAAGCCCAAGGCACUUGCAGCAGCAGACAGGCUACUGAAAAUCUUCCCAGGAGUGAGCUCAGAAGGCUAUAACAUGAGCAUCCCUAUGCCAGGCCACCCAGUGAAUUUUUCUGAGGUAACAAUGGCACAGGCUCGGAAGGAUGUGGCUAAACUUGAAGAGCUUAUUGAUGCUCAUGAUGUUGUUUUCCUACUAAUGGACACUAGAGAGAGUCGAUGGCUUCCUGCUGUCAUUGCAGCCAGUAAGAGGAAGUUGGUCAUCAAUGCUGCCUUGGGAUUUGACACUUUUGUUGUUAUGAGACACGGCCUAAAGAAACCAAAACAGCAAGAAUCUGGUGAUUCAUGUUUCAGCAAUGCUUCUGGCUCUUCUGAUCUUUUGGGAUCGUCACUCUUUUCAAAUAUCCCCGGCUAUAAACUGGGCUGCUACUUCUGCAAUGAUGUUGUGGCACCAGGGGAUUCCACUAGGGAUCGGACACUGGACCAGCAGUGCACAGUCAGUCGCCCUGGAUUAGCCAUGGUAGCUGGAGCCCUUGCAGUGGAAUUAAUGGUUUCUGUUUUACAGCAUCCAGAAGGUGGUUAUGCUGUGGCCAGCAGUAGUGAUGAUAGAAUGAAUGAGCCCCCUACUUCUCUUGGACUUGUUCCUCAUCAGAUCCGAGGAUUCUUAUCAAGAUUUGAUAAUGUUCUUCCCGUCAGCUUGGCAUUUGAUAAGUGCACAGCCUGCUCAGCCAAGGUCCUGGAGCAGUAUGAACGAGAAGGGUUUAAUUUCCUUGCUAAAGUUUUUAAUUCUUCACAUUCCUUCUUGGAAGACUUGACAGGUCUAACUUUAUUACACCAGGAGACACAAGCUGCUGAGACAAAGGAAGAAAUAAAUGAAAACAAUGGUAUCUUCAGCAAAUGGAAUGCCAGUAUUUUCACUUGUACUUUAGGCCACUGACUAAUGCUGCUUCUUAGGGGACUCUGUCAACAUUUUGCCAACUAGGAGAGAAAAAAAGAAACUUUAGCAGUGAAGAGAUCUGGGACAUGAGUGAUGAUGAAACAAUCUGAAAUAAGCUGGAUAAGGAGGGGGAUGACCUGGACUGCAGCCCCACCUUUAUCUUUUACCUGACAAGUUAAUGAUUGCUUACCCAUUCUGACUGCUGCAAAUACAAACAUAAUCCACAUUUUGACAUUAAUAACUUCACCUUAAAAGCAGUCUGUUAUGGACAGAACUCUCCAUGUUUUCUUUUUUAUUUCGUAAAUAACUAAAGCAGUGUGGUUAUGUUUAAACUUGGUCUUCUUUUUUUUGUGUUUUUUUUUUUUUGUGGUUUUUUUUGUGUGUGUGUGUGUUGUUUUUUUUUUUAGUUUCUAAAUACGGCUUACAUAUAAAAUACACUGCUUAAAUAAGCUUUGGAGGUUUAUUUGUCCCAGGUCUUAUUUUGCUUGUCAAGGGACACGUGGAAGCAGAGUGUCUUUUUUCAUCUUUCUCAGAUUUGUGCCCCUUUUGUUGGAAUCUGUUGUUAAGACUGAGCAUGUUCUGCUACUGGGAAUUGAACUUCGUCUUUAAAGGAGAGCAGGAGUGGGUAAGAACCCACACCUUCUGCUUCCACCACAUUGCUUUUAUCUCCAAGCACAUACUUACAGUACAUUGUUCUUGAUGUGUCAGUGCAGGUAUUCCUCUCUGUAGAGAUCUCAUCAUUUCGUGCUAUGGCAACAAUGUGGUUUGACUUACUUUGCACAGAAAAGACCAGAAUGCAUUUUUAUGACGAUGAAGCUUUCCUGAAGGUCAGAGAAGGAGUAAGCAAAAGUGUUUUAGGGGGUGGAUCACUGAUUCAGUCAAAACUUCUAGAAAAAUACUUAAAUGAAAUAAGAAAUUGCUUCUCUGACUUUUCUAUUCUUGGAUGUGGUCCUGCAGUACCUUAUAGGUGUUUAAAAGGAGUAAUUCUGGUUGGGUUUUUGUUGUUGUUGUUGUUGUUGUUCAUUUAAGUCCUUCCAUUUUCACAGCAUCAAGAAUGGUUCCAGAGAUCAUGGCUGAGCACAGACAGUAGUUUGAGAAUCCUCAAGUUUAACAGAUAACUUGAGGAAAAGGACUUGUAAAAUAUCAAAGUAAAUUACUACAGAAUUAAAUCUAUUGCUUUUAAUAUGGAAUAGGUUUUAGAAGGAUAUUUUAAAUCUCUUAUACAGCUUUAUAUUGUGGGGUUCAUGGGCUAACUCACUAAGAAAUAAUGUAAAUUGCUUAAUCUGCCAAGCAGUCUCUGUUUUCCAUAUAUAUGAAAAUGAGUUGCUCAAUCCAAUUAUUUUAGUUCCUUAACAUAAGCUCUGAAUAUUUCUUGUAGAGAAUUUCACAGCUUCUCUCUAUGCCACAUCAGAAGUUCCUUCACAUCAAGGAUAUCUGCAACUCCCAUGUCCUGACCAUAAAAGAAAAUUUAUUGAAACAUGCUGGGGUUUGCACGAAGUGUCUUAAACAGGAAUUAUUUGUAUUUAUUUUAACUACCAUCUUCAUAGAUUUACAUGAUUUUUUAUGUAGCAUAGUGUCUAGUUUAAUUAACUGCAUUGUAAUAAAAAAAUAUUAAUGCAAUAUAUUUUUGAAAGGCUAGUAAUGAUAACAAACUGAUCUUUUGGAGGUCAGGCACUAAGGCUGAUAACAUUCCAUGUACAUUUUUAAAGCAGUUUGUUAAAUUACAUACUUAGUUUGGAGCUCAAAUGAAUUCCAUGUUGUUAUCCAUGUCAUUGUCCAGCUGGAGCCAUGGAUUGGUAGCAGGGCAGUUUAGAGGGAAUAAUCUACUUUUUUAUUUUUUGAAGUUGCUGACCCUGGGAGUGUGAAUGUCUUUGCAGAAUUUGGUUAUCUAAAACUUGAAAGCUGAAUCUGAUAAAUAUUAAUUAUUAUUUUAAGUAUCUGAAACUCUGCUUAUCCUGUUAAAGUUACCUUGUAGCUUUGCAUUGGAAGUAUCUGUUUAAGUGCAGAAGAGCACAAGGCAGGAAGGUUCAAAACUCAGGGUUAAUGUAAUGUUUCCUUACCUCUGUAUUUUCAGUAACAUACAACUCUCUGAGGCUGAGCUGUUUCCUGAACAUAUGCUCCCCAGAUGUCUCUGAUGUUCAAAAACACAUUAGUUUGACUUGGAAUAACUUCCGUUUUCUAAAUGUAAUGUUGUUUUCUUUCUCCUUGUGGACCAGAAUUCCUCUUAUUUUGCUUUUACUCAAUUUCUAGGCAUUUACUGAGUGAGAAAUUGUGAGAAUCCGUUCAAACGAAUGAAUGCACAUUCACAUACUAUUAGCAGAUAAACACAUUUAUUUACUGGCUUGUAUGCACUUAAUGACAGGAUUUCAACACAGUCCUCAGCUCCAGUUAUUGCUGGUUAAUGGAAGAAGCUAAAUUUUGCCUUUCUUCAUGAAGGAGGUAGGAUUUUAAUGUUAUUUGUGCUGCUAUGACAUCAGUGAAAUAGCCAAAUUCAUACUUUUCACUGUAGAACCCAACAGCUACUGUGGCUUUUCAGGUGUAAAACAAAUCCAUAGGGAGGAGGGAAUGAGCAGCCUCAGGGGAACCUACUCAUCUUUCUAAACUAUCUAACAGAAACGUAAUGGCAUUAUAGGGCAGUGGAGGUGGGAACUGUGACACCUACAGACUUUGUCUGGGACCAUUUAAUACUGUCAGUAGAAGAGCACAGAUCUCAGUGGAGAGCUGUUGACAGCACUUUUGUACUUGAGUAUUAAAGAAACUCAUGCAAUGAUAUCCUCUGUUUUGAUUUCACACUUGUACUGGCUGGAAUUUUUCUUCAUUGUCACCCCUUCAAUGUGUUUGCUGGCUGAAAUUGGGAUUUUGUUACAUGAAUGUACCACAUUCACUGAAGUGAGGAAUCUGAGAUUCUGUGUGAGCCUUUUCUUCCUUGGAGCCCUCACUUGCUCUCAUCCUUGCUUUCACAGUCUGCUGUGUCAUAGUCUGUCAAUCUGGAAUAAAUUUCCUUUGCCCUUUAUGUCGUGUGUAAAUUGUCCUACACCAUUAGAUCCAGCAGAAUCAUGGCAAGUACCUGGUUCAGCCCACACAAGAAUCUGUUCAUGGAGUGUGUGUAGUUUGGGUCUUAAGCCUUCAACACUGGGCUCUGAAAGAGAGGAAAGGCACAAAUUUGAAAAUUACACUUAGAUCCAUGAAAAAAGAUUCAUGAUAGCACAGACAGAUUGGUCAAGAAGGUCAUCGGGGAGUGGGACCAUAGGAGUUCUAUUCCUAGGAAGCUGAUGAAUCUCAAGAGCUAAACAGAGAUUCUGCUUCAGCAGAAGUCAACAGCAAUAUUUUGACAUGUUAUUUUGACAGUCAUUAUUUUGACAUGUCAAAGAAAAAGGUAGGGACUACUCAGGUCUUAAAAUCCAAACUUGAGCUUGUAAAAAUGCUUUUCCUUCCUUGUAUUCUGUAUGGUUUUGGUAUUGUGUCUUCAGAGAAGUCUACAGAGAAAAUUGUGUCUUCAGAGAAUGACAUAAACUAAAAUUUCUGUUUUCUCAUCUUUGAGAUUCUUAUCCCACUACCCCUAUGUCUCUGCCCAUGGCAGGGGGAGUUGGGACUAGAUCAGAGAAACAGAGAAUCAGCCAGGUUGGAAAGGACCUCUGAGAUCAUCAAGUCCAACCCUUGAUCCAACCCCACUGUGGUUCCCAGACCAUGGCACUGAUGCCACAUCCAGUCUGUCCUUAAACAGCUCCAGGGACGGAGAAUCCACCACUUCACUGGGCAGCCCCUUCCAUUGCCUGAUUACCCUCUCUGUAUUUUUUCCUGAUAUCGAACCCAAACCUCCCUGGUACAGCUUGAGACCAUGGCCUCUUGUCUCACUGAUAAUUGCCUGGGAGAAAAGACCAACCCCACCUGGCUACAACCUCCUCUCAAGGAGUUGUAGAGAGUGAUGAGGUCUCCUUUGAGCCUCCUCUUCUCCAGGCUCAACAACCCCAGCUCCCUCAGCCUCUCCUCACAGCACUUGUGCAUGAGAUGAUCUUUAAGAUCCAUUCCAACCCCCUUAAGACUCUAUGAUUCUAAUUCUGUUUCUUUGUGUAAAAUUUGGCUGUUCACUUUAAAUAUAUACACCAGAAUUAUUACCAAAAUUUAGUAUUCUUCCAUAUAUAAGCACUCUAUUUUAGUUUCUCACUUGUGCUCUCAUAGAAAACUUUUACUGAAAUGAGUAUUAUAUAUUUCUGAACUUUGCACUGUAGAACCAUAGUACUUGUUUCUCCCUCUUACUGAACAAAUUCUUUCUAAAUGUAUGUUAACUAGUGUAAUCAGAAUUGCUAGUGGAAUCAUAGAAUCAUUUGUUGGAAAAGAUCUUUAAGAUCAUCAAAUCCAAGUGUUGCCCCAGCACUGCCAAGCCCACUGCUCAUACUUUGUCAUUGUGCUGCUCCGGGACCAUGUUGGGCCAUGAAGAGUUCACCCAGUUCCCGACUCCCUGUGGAGUUUUAUUCCACUUUUUCAAGCCACAUCAUGAAAUGAGUGGAAUUCUGAGAUGUGACUUUGCCAUGCAGAAUUCUCAUUAAGGCCAGUAAUGUGUGAGGUCACUGAGCUACUGAUACCAACUUUUCUAAUGGUGAUCAAGAACAACUCUGCCUGUUUCUUACAGAGUGCCGGAGAGGUGUGGCAGAAUCCAUGAGGUUACUUUAUAUAGUUCCUUAUGCAACAUGGUAAACUUCAGCUGAAUUCCUAAGAAACAGUCCGGAAGAUAUCUCGAGCCUGUUACUAUUUUUCUUCUGAAUCUUUUGACAUGGCUUCAUUAAUUCCUUUUUUUUUUUUUUUUAAUUUAAUUUUCAAUGCAGAUGAUGUGCUUGUGCAUAUUCUAAGUUUCGUAAGAAUGAAACUUUCCCUCAAGAGGGUGUUGUGCACCUUUUCUCUCUAGAGCACCUGGAUUAACUAUUUUAAAAGACAGAAAUACUGCACUACAGAGACUUUGGACUGUCCCAGUCUGGCAGUGUGUGAAUUCCUAACCUAUGAAAAAACUGCCUACCUGUCCCAUUUCAGUUCCAGCUCUCCUUCCCUUGCAGCUGCCUGGACCUUUACCAGACCUUAACAGUGUGUAAAAAUACUGUGGCAUCACACACGUAAUGCUUUAGGUUUGAAAAUAAUCUAGACUUGCCCUCUGUAUUGCCACUUCAACUUUCCAGUGUAAUGAUUCCUGAAAAGUUCACAUCUUUAUCUGUGCAGUAUUUGACAGGUUUGGAAUUCAAAACUGUAACAGUUUGUUGACACUGGGUUUUUUCCCUCAUUUCACUUUUUUUGAUACGGUUUUGUCCCCUACUACUGACAGUGCUUGGCAAAGAAUAUCUAUGAGUUUUAUUCUCAAUUAUCCUGGGUCAAACUGUUGCUCCAACCUCAUUUUUGCAGUAUUCAAGUCAUGUCACGAUAAUCCAAGUGGGCUGUGGCUUGUGCUCAUUUCUCCUCAGUACAGUAGCUGACGUUCAGAAAUCCACAUUCUUCCACCACCCAGCAAUUUUGUCCAGGUUGCAGUGAAGUCUCUGGCGUGAGUCACUUGAAGAUUUUUAACCUGGUCAAGGAAGUUGGCCCAGGGAAGGAGAACUGAAGCUCCUCCCCGAAGAAUUAAUAGCAGUACGCUCCAGUAGCAAUGAUGAGAAGUACCUUAAGGUAUUCCAUGUCUUAAGGCAGUAAUUUUUUCACCUAAUUCCCCAGUGCCAAUGAUCUCACCCCAGGAUAAGUAUGCAGAUGGCUACUCCAACCCUGUAUAAGUUUGAGUUCUGAUUGCAGCCCUCCAUAAUAAUAUCUGCCUGUUGUGACUUAACCACAGCAUUUUUUCAAAUUCAGUGGGAUUAUUUAGGACAUGCUCUGAAAAGAGUUUCAAAACCCACCAGUUAUUGUCAGAACUUUGCAAAUGAAGUAGCAGAGGUUCUUUCUGUUCAAUGAGGCCAGUGCUCUCUUGCCAUUGAAGCUUCUUGCAGUCACUUCCUUGGGCUUAGGGCUAAAAGGGGCAAUCAGGAGUUCUAAAAACAAACAUAUUAUGUUUCCUGACUGGCACAGAGGACACAACUCUCCUUCCAUCUUCUGUAGCAGUCUAAAUGCUUGCUUCCUCAUGUUCUUUCAGUGGAUGUUUAUACAGGACAUUGAUAUAAAGUACAAUGAGCUCUGUCUCUGGAGUUGAAGGUCACAUGCACACCUUCAUUUCAUUUAAAAUGAUAAAACUUUUAAAUUACUUCUCAACAAUAUAUCUUAGUAAGCUAACAGGGAAGGACAUAAGCAUAUGCACAGCACUGUACUGCUGCAAAUGAAAAGUAUGAUUUUUUAAAAAUCAGUCCUGUAACUUCUCUCCCAUCCAGUUACUCUCUGUUCUUACAUUCCUUGGCUGUGACUUGCUGCUUCAGCUGCCCUUGAGCAUCCAAAAAUCCAGGCUUGUGUGUAACUGCAGUUUUCUUUUUGGCACUGGGACAUUUGAUUUUUGCUAGAUCUCCACAGAAUGAUUCAUUGUUUGAUUUGUUAAUGAAAUUCACCACUAAUAUUAAUUACUAAUGUUAUGCACUAUGGAAAUAAGAGAGGAGAGACAUUAUUCUGGUUUCCUUCUCACAGAGAAGGUCAGUAGUUUUUUCCCUAAUUUCUCCUUUGGUCUAAUGGUCUUAAAGAUCUUCUAAUGAUGUUCAUCUCUCAAGAAGCUACAAUGGAUGCAUCCUGGCAAGGCAGUGCUGCAGGAUCUGGGACAUGUGAAAUGCAAGCCGGCACCUUGUUGCUGGAAUGGUUUUGCUUUCUAAAUCAAAUGAGUAUGGACUAAAGCUGCAUGGAAAAAUGCUGCUGGAAUUGUUUCCUCAUCGUGUCAAUAGGCUGGGGAGGACAGCAAGAGCUGCAGAGCUUCCACAUCUGCUGCUCUGAGUGCAUUUGGACUCUGGUUUUUGACAGUUUUUGGUGUCCUUCCCCUCUGCUUUUUUCUGUCCCUGUGAGUAUCUUCCCCCCACCCCCAGUGCUGAUGUCCUCACUGCUAAGGGAGGGCUGUCAGUGAACACCCAAAUGAAUUUCUAGUGACAGAUUUCUCUUAAAUUAGAGGCAAGGAAACCUCUAGCGUAGGAAGCAUUUUACUUGAGGUUUUUGCUUUGUCUGUAAGUGUCUUUAUUUUCAUUUCAUGCUUCCAAAUCUGACUUUUAUACAGUAAUUCUGUAGGUGUUGCCACUUCCUCAGGAACCUGUGACUCAGGCGACCUCUAAAUGACAUGACAUCACCGGCAGCUCCUGUUGAAUUGCCAGUUUCCUAAAUAGGGCUGUUGGCUUUGCUUUUGGUACUUGCAGCUUUGCUUUGAGGGUUGUUUUGUGAGGGGGGAGAGAUGAGGGGUUUUAAUUACUUAAGGCAGCCUUGCCAUUCCCAGGAACCAUACUUCAAGUGUUUUAGAAUCAUGGAAAUUGCCAGUAUUGAAGCCUACUUAAAAUGGGAGAUCUGCAUUCAUAUACCAGUUAUUUAUGAAUGAAAUAAUUGUAAUUAGGCCUUCAUAGAGGUUCUGUUGUUAUAAACAGUCUUAAUUCACUCCUGGUUUAGGGAGGGGUAGAGACAAGGGGAGUCUGACCAUACUUUUCCAUUAUUUUUUUGGAAGCAAUGAAACAAAAGAUGUGUUUUCACACUACAGAGUGUUUAAUGGCUCUCAGUAAGUGUGUAUCUGCCCCACAGCAGAUUCAGGGUAGAUUUCAGGGUUUUCUUUCCAGUGGCAGUGCUGUGUAAGUACAAGGCUGGACCAGGAGGAGCUGGAGUGAGUGUUGGUUCUGGGGGGAGUGUCCCUGCUGCCGGCAGGAGUCGGGGUGGCAGCAGGAAGGCAGGGGCGACAGCAGCUCCUGCAGUUGUGUUUCCUUGGCCAUGAGCCCCAGCGACGUCAUUGCAAGGCGGGACCUGGUUGGGGAACUGCUGAGAGAAAUAAUGUCAGGAAUUCUGGUCAUCAGAAGAAUGUGGCGAGUUGGAUGUCUGUCUAGGUCAUGUAUUCAUGCUAUAAAAGUGUUGGUUUAUUGGUUAUUGUCAUGUGAAAAGGAUCCCUGUCCCUUUGUUUAAAAUAGUAGCAUUUUGGAACUCCAUAGACAUCUGUGCAGCAGAGGCUUUAGGUGUGGCCUUUGGUUGUGCUUGGAUCGUGUGGGUUCUCACUGAGCAGGCAGUGCUGUUGUAGUUGUACUUAAAGGAAAACUCAGAGAACAUCCAUGUAUCAGGGAGGUGGGAUAAGUGGCUACCAUCAGUAAUGGUCUUUCUUCUAAUGAUGUCAGUCCAUGUCAAAAUUUGGCACUGUUGAGAGCCAUGUAAUUAAAGUUAUUUUUCAGAUGACACAUUAAACCAAAAUCCUAAAAGAAAGUUCUGUUUCUCUUUCUACUUUCUUUCUGAUAAUUUAUUUUCUUUCUUUCUAUUUUUUUUUUUAUCCUACCUUCCUGGAGUUGCUGUUGAGUUUCCUCUGGGUCUUUCAUUUUCGAAAUUACUUUGUGCAUGCUUUUAAUGAAAAACUCUCACUCAAGUUUGACCCGGUGGCUGUUGGAGCACUGGUGGUUUAUCGUUAUGGGCACUAAGCUGGGAGUGAUAACAUUGCAAUUAUUUGGUCACACAAACAUGAAGAUGGCUUUCCCCUAAUUAGAACAUUUGCUAUUUCAUGCCUCUUGCAUGCAGUUGAACACUAUUUGUGUUUUUCCUUGGGGCAGUAUUAGGAUGAGGGAGCUGUAAUGCUCCUGCCCCAUCAGCCAUGGUGGAGCAGCUGAUGCCUGAUCACACUCUCCAACCCCCUGGUACCCUCACAUGACUAGUGCUCCCCAAAAUCUUGGACUGGGGCACUCAAUUACUUGCUAACUCUGUUGUGUUGAACAGGAACUCAGUCGAGUUUAGCAGUCAAAUACUACAAACUUAAGACAGACUUCUUUUAACCACUGAUUUUCAAGGGAGGAAGAGAGCAAGUCAUCUGGUGUGUGUCCAGCAUUGCCCUGGGGCUGGGUUCAUUUCCAAAAAUUACUUAAUUCAGUUUCCUGUUGGUAGUAUUUGGAAAUGUCAUUAAGAGAUUCAGAUAGAUAACUUCAAGAUAUCCAAUGCUUAAAGGUCAUCUGGGAACAGAGAACAACGACGUAGCUGUUGAUCUGAGAUACUGGAAAAGAGCGUAACUCAAAUGUCACUUGUGUGUCAGGAGGGGCUGAUACAGAUGCCACAGGGAUGUGCAGCAGAACAUGAUUCAGAAUUUGACCAAAAUCCUGGGUUUAAUUUAUUUUGUUGAUGUAGUUGUAGGUGGUUGUGGCUUCAGAAAUUUUCUAAGCCAAAGUGUUAUUGCUACUGUUGAAGCUUUCACGGUUUGGGUAAUAGUCAUAUCCAUGGGAAAUGGAUCGAGGCAGAACACAGGGACUGUACCCCAGACCUCCAGUGAGGCCAAAGAAAAUCCCAGUUUGAGUCAGCUCAGUAGAGACUCUUGCUGAGUAAAGGGCCUGGUGCAGCAAGACCAAUCUCCAUGGGCAAGAGAAUAGUACAGGUGCUAGAGGUGAUAAAGCUCUGUCUCACUUCUGACAUUGUCUAUUAAUGCAUUUUAAUCAAGUUUGGAUAAGUUGUUCAGGUUAGUGAAAUUCAUUUGCAUCAAUUUUUGGAUGCCCAAAUUUGGAUGCUCAGAGCCAGACGUUGAUGGUGUCUUAAACUGGGUUUCAGAAUUCUAAAAGGAAUGUGUUUGGGAAUGUAAAGACAAUCUUACAUUAAGCAUGUAUUUCUAAAACUUAUGUGUGUAAAAGAGGAUUAAAUAAAUCUGUUCUUAAAUUUUAA